RNAcentral lists this small RNA (80 nucleotides) under Flavobacterium succinicans. RNAcentral's name for it is "Flavo-1 RNA". It matches the Rfam family "Flavo-1 RNA". The record is from RNAcentral. Lineage: Bacteria; Pseudomonadati; Bacteroidota; Flavobacteriia; Flavobacteriales; Flavobacteriaceae.
AGUGAACUUCGUUUGCAGUGAAAAUCCUUUUUGAGGCUUUUUCGGCCUCAAAAAGAUUGUAACGUAAAGCCGACCCUUGU